RNAcentral lists this ribosomal RNA (328 nucleotides) under uncultured Anaerolineaceae bacterium. RNAcentral's name for it is "bacterial SSU rRNA". It matches the Rfam family "Bacterial small subunit ribosomal RNA", at positions 1041 to 1382 of the family's 1533-position model. Lineage: Bacteria; Bacillati; Chloroflexota; Anaerolineae; Anaerolineales; Anaerolineaceae. The record is from RNAcentral.
CUGCAUGGCUGUCGUCAGCUCGUGUCGUGAGAUGUUCGGUUAAGUCCGCUAACGAGCGCAACCCUCGCUGUGUGUUACAAGUGUCACACGGAACUGCCGGUCAUAAACCGGAGGAAGGUGGGAUGACGUCAAGUCAGCAUGGCCUUUAUAUCCUGGGCUACACACACGCUACAAUGGGAAGGGACAAUAGGUUGCGAAGCCGCGAGGCGGAGCCAAUCCAGCAAAACUUCCCUCAGUUCAGAUUGCAGGCUGCAACCCGCCUGCAUGAAGUUGGAGUUGCUAGUAAACGCAGGUCAGCCAUACUGCGUUGAAUACGUUCCCGGGGCUU